GACUCCGAGACAAGCUUCACGUCAAAAGGCAGAAGACCAACUUUCGGAAACUGAGAGCCGAGUCGACUCCAAGGAAGUUCGAGUCGACUCCAAGAUUGGAUGAGCCAAAAGACAGAGAAUCGGGAGUUCGGGCUCGGAGAUUUGAGUCGACUCCCAGGACAGUCGAGUCGACUCGAGUGGACAAAAUUCAAAAUUGGAUCCACGGACUUCAGUGGAUGAGCCGACUCCAAAAUUGCCAGGUCAGCUCCAGAAGUUGGCGAGUCGACUCCAGGUCAAGACGAGUCGACUCCCAAUCGUGACGGCAACUUUAAUUCAAAUUUGGAACAGUUGCCGAGUCGACUCCGGAAAAGCGUGAGUCGACUCCUGCUACAGCCGAGUCGACUCCUGAUCGCGCGAGUCGACUCCAACCCACCAACGGUCAUAUUGUCAGGCUGCGCAGAGUGUGCAGAACGGCCAGAAAAAGCAGAGUAACGGCUAGUUUCCGUGGGGGUUGGCUUAAAUAGCCACAGAAGNNNNNNNNNNNNNNNAGAACACACAUUCCACUCCAAGCAUUCAAGUUUUCAAGCUCUCCAAGUGCUCUUAAACGAAAAAGGGGAGAUCUGCAUUUACUGCUCCAACAACUUCUUCCCAACAAUCAAAGCUUCCUCCUCCUGCAUUCAAGUCGACCACUCUUUCAAGAGGAGACCGGAGUUCCAGAAGCCAUACCUCUUCACCAGCUUAAAAGCGUUUGAGGGCUUCUAACUCCUUUACGAUUAUAUUGUUUUAAAUCUGCUUUUUGAGAAGCUAUUUUCUGUUUUCUUCUAUCUCUUGUAUUUACUUGAUUCAAUCGGAGGAUUGAAUCAAGGGGUUUAAGGUUGGUUGGUGAGCCAAGUUAAAACCAACGUGUGUAAGGAUUUGAUUGUGAGCCCGGAAAAACAAUCGGGGUUGGUUCUAGUCGGUGAGCCUGGGAAAACCGACCGAGUUCGUUGUGAGCUCGUAAAACAACAAGUUUGGUUGUGAGCUUGCAAAACAACCGGCUGUAAUCCAAGGGGGUUAUAGUGAAAUUCCCAAGUGAGACUUGGGGAGUGGACGUAGGAGCAAGGGUUAGCUCCGAACCACUAUAAAACUUUGUGUUUGUAGUGCAUUGUCUCUCAUCUUCUUCCCCGCACACUACUCACAGCACUUAGCUUUAAUUAAAUAACUUGCUAUAGUUUUAAAUUAAUCAUCCACAAAGUUUUAAAUAUUCAAGUUAAUUUAAAAACCCAAUUCACCCCCCCCCCUCUUGGGUUGUCUAUC
RNAcentral lists this long non-coding RNA (1275 nucleotides) under Phoenix dactylifera (date palm). RNAcentral's name for it is "long non-coding RNA (PDAC_LNC012627)". Lineage: Eukaryota; Viridiplantae; Streptophyta; Magnoliopsida; Arecales; Arecaceae. The record is from RNAcentral.